GACGAACGCUGGCGGCGUGCCUAAUACAUGCAAGUAGAACGCUGAAGAGAGGAGCUUGCUCUUCUUGGAUGAGUUGCGAACGGGUGAGUAACGCGUAGGUAACCUGCCUUGUAGCGGGGGAUAACUAUUGGAAACGAUAGCUAAUACCGCAUAACAAUGGAUGACACAUGUCAUUUAUUUGAAAGGGGCACUUGCUCCACUACAAGAUGGACCUGCGUUGUAUUAGCUAGUAGGUGAGGUAAUGGCUCACCUAGGCGACGAUACAUAGCCGACCUGAGAGGGUUAUCGGCCACACUGGGACUGAGACACGGCCCAGACUCCUACGGGAGGCAGCAGUAGGGAAUCUUCGGCAAUGGGGGCAACCCUGACCGAGCAACGCCGCGGGAGUGAAGAAGGGUUUCGGAUCGUAAAGCUCUGUUGUAAGUCAAGAACGGGUGUGAGAGUGGAAAGUUCACACUGUGACGGUAGCUUACCAGAAAGGGACGGCUAACUACGUG
RNAcentral lists this ribosomal RNA (497 nucleotides) under uncultured bacterium. RNAcentral's name for it is "partial 16S ribosomal RNA". It matches the Rfam family "Bacterial small subunit ribosomal RNA", at positions 28 to 507 of the family's 1533-position model. The record is from RNAcentral.